This 292-nucleotide ribosomal RNA is filed under the name uncultured bacterium. Its description in RNAcentral is "partial 16S ribosomal RNA". It matches the Rfam family "Bacterial small subunit ribosomal RNA", at positions 505 to 796 of the family's 1533-position model. The record is from RNAcentral.
GUUUCAGCAGCCGCGGUAAAACGUAGGGGGCGAGCGUUAUCCGGAAUCACUGGGCGUAAAGGGCAUCUAGGCGGUGUAUUAAGUCCUGCGUGAAAGCUCCCGGCUCAACUGGGAGAGCGCGUGGGAGACUGGUGCGCUAGAGACUCGGAGAGGGGUGUGGAAUUCCCGGUGGAGUGGUGAAAUGCGUUGAGAUCGGGAGGAACACCAGUGGCGAAGGCGGCACCCUGGCCGAGUUCUGACGCUGAAGUGCGACAGCGUGGGGAGCAAACGGGAUUAGAAACCCCCGUAGUCC